This is an RNA transcript of Triticum dicoccoides, 1509 nucleotides long. It is a transcript of the gene named WAS/WASL-interacting protein family member 1-like, with no coding region annotated. The record is from RefSeq and is a predicted model, not a curated record. NCBI's taxonomy places the organism in Eukaryota, Viridiplantae, Streptophyta, Magnoliopsida, Poales, Poaceae. The transcript is spliced from 4 exons.
AUCACGCUGCAAAAACAAGCAUGUAUCACCAAUUCCCCAUCGCUGCCCAGCCGCCGCACAUCUCCUCGACCCAGCCGCCGCGCCCUUUCUCCCUCCCUCCCUCCCUCCCUCUGCCUCCUCAUGUUCCCUCGCCUCGACUAUCAUCCGGAUGGCGACCCCCGCCUCGGCAGGGACCCAUCGCGCUGGCACCUUCGCUGCGAUCCUCGCCGUCGUUGUGGUGUUCGCCCUCGCGCCGGGGGCUAUCCUGCUGGGCAGGAAUGGAGUGGUCUGCUACAUCCAGCGAUAGUGCCGCCAACCGACACGGAGUCACAAUGGCGUGGUUGUGGGAUUACUCCGUCGUGGCCACCAUCACGGGACCAGGAUUCCUUGGGUCGCUGCCUCCGCCGCCUCCGCUGACCUCUGAGACCGCCACCUCCGCCGCCGCCCACCGCCAUCGCGAAACCCCAGCGAGGAGCGGCGCAAGGCCAUGCCCUACAUCACCGAACAUCACAGGUAUUUAUGUUCUGAUCAUUUUUCUAUAUUUUUCUGAUCGUUUGUAUGCUUCACCUAUCCUGAAUCAUAGGUACAUAGGUAUACAGAUACAAUGUGAGGGCGCUGGACGCAGGGACCUCUGCCAGCCUGACCAUGCACAUGUGAAGCUUUUGUUCGAGAUGGACGAGCGAAGGGCAUACGAACGACCGCCAAAUUGUGGCAGAGGACGUGAGUGGCCAGGAUCGUUGCGAGCUGGGUGGAUGCAGGCAUGGUGAAGUGUGUUGGCAGAGCAGAUAAGGGAAGCUGGGCAGGGAACCAGCGGAGUGGCAGGCGUUGCAACGGAGUUCGGAGGACGGAUCAUGGUGGGAGGUGGGGUAACACGGGUCUUGGCCUCUUGGGUCUGAAGAGUUAUUUUCUCAACUGUUUUUGGAUAUAGUUUUCUCAACGGCUCUGUCUGCAAGGGGCAUGUUGGAGAAGCUAGGAGCAAGGAUUUUGUAGUAGAGAUAUGGUCUGGGAUGGGAAACAUAUUUGGGAGAUAUGUUGCUCGGAGCAAAAAAAAUGUUUAAACCUGUUGUUGGCAUCUUAGAAGCCGUUGCAGGCUUCGACCAUAUGGACUAGCUUUUGUCGAUUAAAAACAUACAAGUAGUUCUUGUAAGAUACUUUCAUCUAUUCUCUAAUUUACUUGCAGUACGAAUUUUUCACCAAAUUGGCUUUUGGAGAAAAUGCUUGCUUGAGAAUUUAAGACUUGAAUGCUGGAAUGACAGAUUAUGAGAUACCGAGAAAGGAAAUAUUGCCUUUAGUGUGUUCAUUUAAUGAAGUGAUUGGCCUCAUUUGCAAAUAAUAAAUAAAAAUGAAGUUAUUGGCCUCUUUUCUAUUUGUUGCCCCAUUUUUAUACUGACAUUGGGCAUUUAGAUACAACUAAAGGUGUUUUUGUUUGUUUUUUAAGAAAUUUUAUAAUUUGUACUCCCUCCUUCCAUCUAUAUAGGGCCUAAUGCGUUUUUCAAGACCGUCAUUGACUAUUGAUAAGAUUAAUAAUAC